AAUCAACGCUGGCGGCGUGCCUAACACAUGCAAGUCGAACGCGAAAGUCCCGCAAGGGAUGAGUAGAGUGGCAAACGGGUGAGUAACGCGUGGGUGACCUGCCUUCGAGUGGGGGAUAACGUUCCGAAAGGGACGCUAAUACCGCAUGACAUCCCGUCUUUGAACAGACGGACAUUAAAGCCGGGGCUCGCAAGACCUGGCGCUUGAAGAGGGGCCCGCGUCCGAUUAGCUAGUUGGUGAGGUAACGGCUCACCAAGGCGACGAUCGGUAUCCGGCCUGAGAGGGCGGACGGACACACUGGGACUGAGACACGGCCCAGACUCCUACGGGAGGCAGCAGUGGGGAAUUGUUCGCAAUGGGCGCAAGCCUGACGACGCAACGCCGCGUGGAGGAUGAAGAUCUUCGGGUCGUAAACUCCUGUCGAAUGGGACGAAUGGAUCGCGAGCGAACAGCUCGCGGUCGUGACGGUACCAUUAAAGGAAGCCCCGGCUAACUCCGUGC
RNAcentral lists this ribosomal RNA (501 nucleotides) under uncultured bacterium. RNAcentral's name for it is "bacterial SSU rRNA". It matches the Rfam family "Bacterial small subunit ribosomal RNA", at positions 32 to 508 of the family's 1533-position model. The record is from RNAcentral.